RNAcentral lists this ribosomal RNA (612 nucleotides) under uncultured eukaryote. Its description in RNAcentral is "SSU rRNA". It matches the Rfam family "Eukaryotic small subunit ribosomal RNA", at positions 585 to 1204 of the family's 1831-position model. The record is from RNAcentral.
CCAGCUCCAAGAGUGUAUAUUGCCUUUGCUGCGGUUAAAAAGCUCGUAGUUGGAUCUGCGCCUUCGGACUCGGUCCGCCCAACGGGUGUGAACUGAGAUCCAAGGCUUAUACUGCUGGUUUUCCCUUGAUGCUCUUCACUGGGUGUCUUGGGUGGCUAGCGAGUUUACUUUGAAAAAAUUAGAGUGCUUAACACAGGCUAUCGCCUGAAUACUUGUGCAUGGAAUAAUAGAAUAAGACCACGGCUCUAUUUUAUUGGUUUUCGGAACUGUGAUAAUGGUUAAGAGGGACAGACGGGGGCAUUCGUAUCGCUGCGUGAGAGGUGAAAUUCUUGGACCGCAGCGAGACGCCCUACUGCGAAAGCAUUUGCCAAGAAUGUCUUCGUUAAUCAAGAACGAAAGUCAGAGGUUCGAAGGCGAUCAGAUACCGCCCUAGUUCUGACCGUAAACGAUGCCAACUAGCGAUCCGCCGGUGGUAAUUACGCCCCGGCGGGGAGCUUCCCGGAAACGAAAGUCUUCCGGUUCCGGGGGAAGUAUGGUUGCAAAGCUGAAACUUAAAGGAAUUGACGGAAGGGCACCACCAGGAGUGGAGCCUGCGGCUUAAUUCGACUCAAC